AUGCCCGCCCCUACUCCAGCCCGUGGGCGUGGUUCCCAGCGUCUGCGAAUUCGCGCGCCCGGGGCGGGGCGGGGCGGGCCUGCCCAGGGGCCACUGACAGCCGCGGGAGAGAGCGGCUGGUCGCACCUCCGGCCCCGCCGCCCAGCUGCUGACAGCCUCCCGGCCCGCCGGUCCAUGCUGGUCCCGGUCUUUGUUCUGGGGCCGGCGCCGAGACAUGCGCGGCUGACGAUGGAGGUGGAGGACUCGGGCGGCGUGGUGCUGACCGCCUACCACUCGUACGCCCGCGCCCAGCCCCCCAACGCAGAGUCGCGCUGCGCGCCCCGGGCCGCCGCCAGCCACCCGCUCAGCAGAAAAUCCAUUCCUCGCUGCCGAAGAAUUAACAGGAUGCUCUCCAAUGAAUCCCUCCAUCCUCCUGCCUUCAGCCGUUCCAACUCAGAAGCCUCCGUAGACAGCGCCUCCAUGGAGGAUUUCUGGCGGGAAAUAGAAAGUAUUAAAGAGAGCAGCAUGGGAGGGCAAGAAGAGCCACCGCCAGCUGAGGUCACACCUGUGGAUGAAGGAGAACUUGAAGCAGAGUGGCUGCAAGAUGUGGGUUUAUCAACUCUGAUCUCAGGUGAUGAAGAGGAAGAUGGCAAAGCCUUGCUCUCUACAUUGACUCGAACCCAAGCAGCUGCCGUGGAAAAGAGAUACAAUACCUAUACCCAGACCAUGAGGAAAAAGAAUAAGCAAUCUAUCAGGGAUGUCAGAGACAUUUUUGGAGUCAGGGAAUCUCCU
Mandrillus leucophaeus (drill) is the source of this 771-nucleotide RNA transcript. It is a transcript of the gene named rho GTPase-activating protein 28 pseudogene, with no coding region annotated. The record is from RefSeq and is a predicted model, not a curated record. NCBI's taxonomy places the organism in Eukaryota, Metazoa, Chordata, Mammalia, Primates, Cercopithecidae. The transcript has 3 exons.